Molecule: ribosomal RNA, 252 nt
Filed under: uncultured bacterium
Lineage: Bacteria
Description: partial 16S ribosomal RNA
Rfam family: Bacterial small subunit ribosomal RNA
Source: RNAcentral
UACAGAGGGUGCAAGCGUUAAUCGGAAUUACUGGGCGUAAAGCGUGCGUAGACGGUUACAUAAGUCGCGUGUGAAAGCCCCGGGCUCAACCUGGGAAUUGCGCGCGAAACGGGGGGGCUGGAGUUCGGGAGAGGAGCGUGGAAUUCCCAGUGUAGAGGUGAAAUUCGUAGAUAUUGGGAAGAACACCGGUGGCGAAGGCGGCGCUCUGGACCGAGACUGACGCUGAGGCGCGAAAGCGUGGGGAGCAAACAG